GUGAGUCAUCGAAUCUUUGAACGCACAUUGCGCCCUGUGGUAUUCCGCAGGGCAUGCCUGUUCGAGCGUCAGUACAACACUCAAGCUCAGCUUGGUCUUGAGCCCAGCGGGGUCUCCUCGCGGGCUUUAAAAGUAGUGGCGGUGCCGCCUGGCCCCUAAGCGCAGUAAUGCUCCUCGCUUUUGGUGUCGACGGUCGCUGGCCAGCAACCCCAAACUUUCUCAGUUUGACCUCGGAUCAGGUAGGGAUACCCGCUGAACUUAAGCAUAUCAAUAAGCGGAGGA
Molecule: unclassified non-coding RNA, 282 nt
Filed under: Chalara sp.
Lineage: Eukaryota; Fungi; Ascomycota; Leotiomycetes; Helotiales
Description: partial contains 5.8S ribosomal RNA, internal transcribed spacer 2, and large subunit ribosomal RNA
Rfam family: 5.8S ribosomal RNA (bases 1-71)
Source: RNAcentral